Molecule: ribosomal RNA, 301 nt
Filed under: uncultured bacterium
Lineage: Bacteria
Description: partial 16S ribosomal RNA
Rfam family: Bacterial small subunit ribosomal RNA
Source: RNAcentral
CAGUAGCCGCGGGAAUACGUAGGGUGCAAGCGUUAAUCGGAAUUACUGGGCGUAAAGCGUGCGCAGGCGGUUAUAUAAGUCAGAUGUGAAAUCCCCGGGCUCAACCUGGGAACUGCAUUUGAGACUGUACGGCUAGAGUGUGUCAGAGGGGGGUAGAAUUCCACGUGUAGCAGUGAAAUGCGUAGAUAUGUGGAGGAAUACCGAUGGCGAAGGCAGCCCCCUGGGAUAACACUGACGCUCAUGCACGAAAGCGUGGGGAGCAAACAGGAUUAGAUACCCGUGUAGUCCCUGUCUCUUAUAC